UGGGCAAAGCAUCCGAACUGCUACUGCCGCUGAGUAGAUUUUAAGGGCCGCGGUAUUUUGACCGUGCGAAGGUAGCGUAGUCAUUAGUUUUUUAAUUGGAAUCUUGUAUGAAUGGUUAGACAAAAGAAAAUCUGUCUCUUUAUUAAAAAUUGAAUUUAACUUUUAAGUGAAAAGGCUUAAAUAAAUUAAAAAGACGAUAAGACCCUAUAAAGCUUAAUAUUAAAAUGUUACUUAAUUAAAUUAAAAUAUAAAAAUUUCGUGAUGUAAUUUAUUUUAUUGGGGUGAUAAAAGUAAAAUGAUUGUUAACUGCUUUAUAAAAAAACAUUUUUAAGUGAAAAAAAUUUAAAGAUCCUUAUUAAAGAUUUAAAGUUUAAGUUACUUUAGGGAUAACAGCGUUAUUUUUUUUGAGAGUUCAUAUCGAAAAAAGAGUUUGCGACCUCGAUGUUGAAUUAAAAUUUCUUUAUAGAAGCAGAAACUAUAAAAGUUGGUCUGUUCGACCUUUAAAAUUUUACGUGAUCUGAGUCAGAACCGGGGGGAAAAUUUAAAUAAAACCAGGCGCCGGG
RNAcentral lists this ribosomal RNA (563 nucleotides) under Macrophthalmus depressus. RNAcentral's name for it is "partial large subunit ribosomal RNA". The stretch from base 386 to 542 matches the Rfam family "Bacterial large subunit ribosomal RNA", at positions 2473 to 2632 of the family's 2925-position model. Lineage: Eukaryota; Metazoa; Arthropoda; Malacostraca; Decapoda; Macrophthalmidae. The record is from RNAcentral.